RNAcentral lists this ribosomal RNA (253 nucleotides) under uncultured bacterium. Its description in RNAcentral is "partial 16S ribosomal RNA". It matches the Rfam family "Bacterial small subunit ribosomal RNA", at positions 524 to 776 of the family's 1533-position model. The record is from RNAcentral.
UACGAAGGGGGCUAGCGUUGCUCGGAAUUACUGAGCGUAAAGGGCGCGUAGGCGGACAGUUUAGUCAGAGGUGAAAGCCCAGGGCUCAACCUUGGAAUUGCCUUUGAUACUGGCUGUCUUGAGUUCGGGAGAGGUGAGUGGAAUGCCGAGUGUAGAGGUGAAAUUCGUAGAUAUUCGGCGGAACACCAGUGGCGAAGGCGACUCACUGGCCCGAUACUGACGCUGAGGCGCGAAAGCGUGGGGAGCAAACAGG